RNAcentral lists this long non-coding RNA (521 nucleotides) under Homo sapiens (human). RNAcentral's name for it is "HSALNT0005578". Lineage: Eukaryota; Metazoa; Chordata; Mammalia; Primates; Hominidae. The record is from RNAcentral.
ACUGGGGCUGGGCCCUGUCAGAGCCAGGUGGGGAUCUACAGGCUGGAGGCAGCACGCUAGGGGAGGGCUUGAGACCAAGGGAGGCUGGAGUGAUGUGGGUCCCAGGACCUGGAAAGCUAUGUUUGUAACUCUGCUCCCCAGAGUUCGCUCUUCUUGAUCAUCCUUGUUCUCUCCUGCACCUGGCUGGGCUCAUUCCUCUUCCCUAUCCCUCUGCCCCUUGACUGGCCUUCCUGGGCAAACAGCAGAUUGUGAAGUGGGAGCUGUGGGGAAGAGGGGAUGGCAUGCCUGCUGUGGGUUCAGGGAUUGUGGCCAUGUGGGCCACCCAGUGGACACUGUCCAGAUAACAUGAAAAGAGGCCAUCCACAGCGGCUCAGCUCUCUGCCCCUCAUCUUUGGGCCCCACCUCACAUUCAUAAAGAGGCUUAAAUUCUAGGGUUUUUUCCUUCAGUUCAAGAUGAGGUUUGUCAGUGAGGUCACAGACAUCCAGCAAGAGGGUUAACGGGGCUGCUUAUCCCCCCACUG